This 429-nucleotide ribosomal RNA is filed under the name Bacteroidota bacterium. RNAcentral describes it as "Bacteroidetes bacterium partial 16S ribosomal RNA". It matches the Rfam family "Bacterial small subunit ribosomal RNA", at positions 355 to 776 of the family's 1533-position model. The record is from RNAcentral. Lineage: Bacteria; Pseudomonadati; Bacteroidota.
UAGGGAAUCUUCCGCAAUGGGCGAAAGCCUGACGGAGCAACGCCGCGUGAGUGAUGAAGGUCUUCGGAUCGUAAAACUCUGUUAUUAGGGAAGAACAAAUGUGUAAGUAACUAUGCACAUCUUGACGGUACCUAAUCAGAAAGCCACGGCUAACUACGUGCCAGCAGCCGCGGUAAUACGUAGGUGGCAAGCGUUAUCCGGAAUUAUUGGGCGUAAAGCGCGCGUAGGCGGUUUUUUAAGUCUGAUGUGAAAGCCCACGGCUCAACCGUGGAGGGUCAUUGGAAACUGGAGAACUUGAGUGCAGAAGAGGAAAGUGGAAUUCCAUGUGUAGCGGUGAAAUGCGCAGAGAUAUGGAGGAACACCAGUGGCGAAGGCGACUUUCUGGUCUGUAACUGACGCUGAUGUGCGAAAGCGUGGGGAUCAAACAGG